GCAGGUCAUGAGAUCGAGCCCCGUGUCGGGUUCUGCGCUGACAGCAUGGGGACUGCUUGGGCUUCUGUCUGUCUCCCUCUCUCUCUGUCCCUCCCCUGCAGGCGCUCGUUCUCUCUCUCUCCCUCAAAAUAAAUGAAUACACAUUAAGAAAAAUAAAGUACCUCUCCUCAAAGGAAAUGGUGGAAAGCUUUGCUGGAUGCCACAUUUGCCCAAUGGCCAUCAUGGCAGCUGGUGAUGCAGAUGGGUUAAAUUCUUCUGCUAAAAAUUGUGGCAUGCAAAUUAUAUUCACAUAGGGCGUAUACGUACUUUUUAAUCAGAAAGAAUAAUACCAACUGCCUGGCAUUCAAUGGUUGAAGUAGGACAGGAGUCUACACACGUAUUAGUUUCUCAAGUCAAAAAUUUAAAAGUCGGGGCGCCUGGGUGGCGCAGUCGGUUAAGCGUCCGACUUCAGCCAGGUCACGAUCUCGCGGUCCGUGAGUUCGAGCCCCGCGUCAGGCUCUGGGCUGAUGGCUCGGAGCCUGGAGCCUGUUUCCGAUUCUGUGUCUCCCUCUCUCUCUGCCCCUCCCCCGUUCAUGCUCUGUCUCUCUCUGUCCCCAAAAUAAAUAAAAACGUUGAAAAAAAAUUAAAAAAAAAAUUUAAAAGUCAAGAAAGUAGAAGGCCCGUGCUGUGUACAAGGAAUUUCUUGCGUAGUUUGAAUAACUGGGUUGUAGAGAGUCAUUGCAAGAGAGAAGCUUCAACCAUUUAUUUCUUCGUGCCAUCAGCCGUGGCUCCGACAUGCAUCGUCGCCUGUUUGUUACGAGUUCCGUUGUGUUGUCUCUACAAGGUGUGGCCGUGGAAUUUACACCUUGCCGGAGGAGAGCUCUUUCGGCUCCAUCAGAAGGAGCAUCCAACCAACGAUUUGGAGAAUUUCGUGUCUCAUCCACCUGGAAGCUGGAGGGCACAGCAGGUCCGCGGGGAGCCGUCACCUCCACAGCAGAGCCCCCGAGAGGUCAGUCAGACAGAGACUGAGAUUCGGCUUCUAGCACAUUAAAG
RNAcentral lists this long non-coding RNA (1032 nucleotides) under Felis catus (domestic cat). RNAcentral's name for it is "lncRNA (ENSFCAG00000041806.2)". Lineage: Eukaryota; Metazoa; Chordata; Mammalia; Carnivora; Felidae. The record is from RNAcentral.